Molecule: long non-coding RNA, 564 nt
Organism: Apis cerana (Asiatic honeybee)
Lineage: Eukaryota; Metazoa; Arthropoda; Insecta; Hymenoptera; Apidae
Source: RefSeq, a predicted model, not a curated record
CGCAUGUCGUCAGUCUACAGUUGAAAAUUGUGUGGAGUGGACGUGUCGUCGCGAAUUGUGAUUAUCGCAGUUUAAUUGGUAGCGUUAUGGUAAUAUUCUCGAAGGCGGGAAAAAUUCCAAUAUGGACGCCAUUGGUGACUUUUUUUCGUGGUAAAAUUUUACAUUUCUUUGUUUCAGAAAUCUCCUUCAGCUUUCAACAAUGGAUUAUGUGGAAUGGAUUACAUCUUAUCAUCAGAUAAAUAUUCUAAUUUUUUAUAUUAGUUUGUUUCAGGAUUUCUUACAGGAACAGAAGAUUGUAUAAUUGAUUAAAAAAAAGUGUAUUUAAAAUUAAGUGCAUGCAGAAUCAAGGGUAUUAAAUAAAGUUAUGUAUUGUAGAAAAGUAGAUACUGUAGAUAAAAUGUUAUAGUAAAAUGCUUUCUGGGAAGCUUAUUUCGCUUAUUUUUUUUCUUUUUUUUGCGCACGCCUUUUAUCAUCAAUCAUUUUUCAUUUCUACACCGAUGGAAGUGUAAAAUAUUGAUAGAAAGUCUCUUAAUUUAAAUUUUAUUUUUUCAGAUUUAGUCUUCC